This 223-nucleotide ribosomal RNA is filed under the name uncultured bacterium. RNAcentral describes it as "partial 16S ribosomal RNA". It matches the Rfam family "Bacterial small subunit ribosomal RNA", at positions 15 to 231 of the family's 1533-position model. The record is from RNAcentral.
GAUCCUGGCUCAGGAUGAACGCUAGCUACAGGCUUAACACAUGCAAGUCGAGGGGCAGCAUGGUCUUAGCUUGCUAAGGCCGAUGGCGACCGGCGCACGGGUGAGUAACACGUAUCCAACCUGCCGUCUACUCUUGGACAGCCUUCUGAAAGGAAGAUUAAUACAAGAUGGCAUCAUGAGUCCGCAUGUUCACAUGAUUAAGUAAUCCGUACGACGAUGGGAG